This 1062-nucleotide unclassified non-coding RNA is filed under the name Hevea brasiliensis (rubber tree). The record is from RNAcentral. Lineage: Eukaryota; Viridiplantae; Streptophyta; Magnoliopsida; Malpighiales; Euphorbiaceae.
UUCUUUUUUUUUUUUUUCUUAUAAUAUUUUAUUGUUCAAAUUGUUUUAUGUUACUUCUCUAAUUACGUGUUUGGUUUUGCUUUUCUGAAUAAAUGAUGUCAGUAGUCAGUACAUUUUCGUUUUAAGGUUAAUUUAGCUUUUCCAUAGGUCCAUCCUUGAUCCAGUUGGGCAUAUAUUGACUAUUUCUUUUCAGCUGGGCAUUUAUUUGACUUUUUUAUUCUCUAGGCAGAAUAAUUAUGUGUGUCAUAUUUUGUGGAAUGAUAUUCUACAGGCAUAAAUAUCUGACAAUAACUGUUAUUAUUACUUUUAUAUAGUUGAGUACUCUAUAUAUGGAACCACUGCUGCUUCUGUUUUCUCUUAUCCAAAUGCUUAAACUUUCUCUAUCUUUUCCUUUUGGGUUUUUUUUAUGUUAUAGUAUCCAUUUAAUUUUGUCUUCAUCCAAUUUUCGAAUCCUAAAUACAAGUGAUGAAAUGAAAAUAAUGGAAAUGGAAAUGCAUAAUCUAUCUAUUAUGACUUCUGUAUAGGCUCAGAUAUUCUUAAGAGGAAUUGAUAUUAUUAAUUGAGAGAUUGUAGCAUACAAUAAUAAAUGGAAUAUCAGAGUCUUCCUUCUUGCAUCCAGUCCUGUUCAGUUCUAUAGAAAGUUUUGUGAUUGCAUCUGAAUUUCAUAAGUUUAAGUUGUGGAACUAUAUAUGAAGUACUAAGUAGCAGUUAACAUAGCCUAAUCCUAUUGUAGCAUUUGAGAUUUUAGGAUUGACUUAGGGUGAAAAGGAGAGAGAGAGAGAAAAAGAGGGGGAGAAUAUUCCAUCUUAUCCUUUCUUUUCUAGCAUUUGAUCUUCAAUUAAAGGUAUAGUUUGAGUAGUUAAAACAUGCAUUCUUUAGUUGACCGGAUCAUGGCUCAAGUACUGUCAAAGAAUCUGUUGUUAGAAGCAGGUGCAGGUAUUAUUUUGUUAUUUUCCCUCUCCAAUUUUGUUAUUUUCCCUCUCCAUACUUCUAAAGUAAAAUAUUAUACAAUUUUAUAGUUUUCAUUUUUUCCUUCUACAGGUUUAGUUCUGUAACUGAGCG